AGUGAACGCUGGCGGUAGGCCUAACACAUGCAAGUCGAACGGCAGCACAGUAAGAGCUUGCUCUUACGGGUGGCGAGUGGCGGACGGGUGAGGAAUACAUCGGAAUCUACUUUUUCGUGGGGGAUAACGUAGGGAAACUUACGCUAAUACCGCAUACGACCUACGGGUGAAAGCAGGGGAUCUUCGGACCUUGCGCGAUUGAAUGAGCCGAUGUCGGAUUAGCUAGUUGGCGGGGUAAAGGCCCACCAAGGCGACGAUCCGUAGCUGGUCUGAGAGGAUGAGCAGCGCCACUGGAACUGAGACACGGUCCAGAGUCCUACGGGAGGCAGCAGUGUGGAAUAUUUGGCACUAGGCGCAAGCCUGAUCCAGCCAUACCGCGUGGGUGAAGAAGGCCUUCGGGUUGUAAAGCCCUUUUGUUGGGAAAGAAAAGCAGCAGGUUAAUACCCCGCUGUUCUGACGGUACCCAAAGAAUAAGCACCGGCUAACUUCGUG
This 492-nucleotide ribosomal RNA is filed under the name uncultured bacterium. RNAcentral describes it as "partial 16S ribosomal RNA". It matches the Rfam family "Bacterial small subunit ribosomal RNA", at positions 29 to 507 of the family's 1533-position model. The record is from RNAcentral.